GGAUCCAUUGCUUAGUUGGUAGAGCACAAGGCUCUUAACCUUGUGGUCAUGGGUCCA
Molecule: transfer RNA, 57 nt
Filed under: Triticum aestivum (bread wheat)
Lineage: Eukaryota; Viridiplantae; Streptophyta; Magnoliopsida; Poales; Poaceae
Also listed under: 1 other name
Rfam family: tRNA
About the family: Transfer RNA (tRNA) molecules are approximately 80 nucleotides in length. Their secondary structure includes four short double-helical elements and three loops (D, anti-codon, and T loops).
Source: Rfam by way of RNAcentral